ACUCUUCUUCAGUAUAUGAUUCUUCUUUUUCUUGUUUCCUCCUCCGGUUAUCGCGUUCCAUGUCGCCUCCAAUGAGUCAUCCUCUUCCUCUAAUUCUUCAAUAUUUUCUUGAUUGCUCAUUUCUUGGUGAUUGGUGUAGGUUGUUGUGUAGUUGGUUUUUAUAGUUGGUUGAAGUUCUGGUUUUGUUGAACGUGGACUAAUGAUUUCACGGGCUUGAGUCAAAUGAGAAAUGUCUGGAAAUGACAUUUUUUGUACACAAUCAAUUUCAAUGUCUUUCACACUGCAGGGAAUCUCAUCUUUAAUUCUUCAAUAUUUUCUUGAUUGCUCAUUUCUUGGUGAUUGGUGUAGGUUGUUGUAUAGUUGGUUUUUAUAGUUGGUUGAGCUACUGGUUUUGUUGAACGUGGACUAUUGAUUUCACGGGCUUGACUCAAAUGAGAAAUAUCUGGAAAUGACAUUUUUUGUACACAAUCAAUUUCAAUGUCUUUCACACUACACGGCAUCUCAUCUUCAAUAUCUUCUAAUACAGGAUGUGAAUUAUUAUAUCGACUGAAAAAAGACAUAACUGUGUCCAUUGCAAUAGCAGAAUUAGUUCUUUUCGGCAUGUCCAUUUUUUCAUGAUCUUUUGGCUUUGCUGCUGGUGACUCAUGACCUCGAACCUCCAUAUUUUCUUCAACAGUAUCCUUCUCAUCUAG
RNAcentral lists this long non-coding RNA (692 nucleotides) under Nicotiana benthamiana. RNAcentral's name for it is "long non-coding RNA (NBEN_LNC016941)". Lineage: Eukaryota; Viridiplantae; Streptophyta; Magnoliopsida; Solanales; Solanaceae. The record is from RNAcentral.